AGUAAAGUGCCUGAUAAAAGGAUUAUUUUGAUAGAAUAAAAAAUGUAAUAAAUUUUAUUACCUUUAUUAUA
Molecule: transfer RNA, 71 nt
Filed under: Strongylogaster xanthocera
Lineage: Eukaryota; Metazoa; Arthropoda; Insecta; Hymenoptera; Tenthredinidae
Description: tRNA-Ile
Source: RNAcentral